This 253-nucleotide ribosomal RNA is filed under the name uncultured bacterium. Its description in RNAcentral is "partial 16S ribosomal RNA". It matches the Rfam family "Bacterial small subunit ribosomal RNA", at positions 524 to 776 of the family's 1533-position model. The record is from RNAcentral.
GACAGAGGAUGCAAGCGUUAUCCGGAUUUACUGGGUUUAAAGGGUGUGUAGGCGGGUCUUUAAGUCAGUGGUGAAAUCUCCGAGCUCAACUUGGAAACUGCCAUUGAUACUAUUGAUCUUGAAUUUUGUUGAGGUAGGCGGAAUAAGUCAUGUAGCGGUGAAAUGCAUAGAUAUGACUUAGAACACCAAUUGCGAAGGCAGCUUACUAAGCAAAUAUUGACGCUGAGGCACGAAAGCGUGGGGAUCAAACAGG